CGAUAAUCUACACAGAACCUCCAAGCUCCGUUCUUCUUCUGGACCAGCACAAUGGGCGCAGCCCAAGGACUACUACUUUCCCGAACAAUCCCUUGAUCCAGCAUGCCUUGUAGCAGGGUACGAACUUCCGAAUACAGAGUAGGUGGAAUAGGGCGAUACCUUUCACGACUGGGUCCGGCCUCCCCAGUGGGGAUCUGAUGCCUCACUACGUCCGUACAUCCGUAAUCCUCGUCAUGUGUUGAAAACACAUGCUGCCAUCGGGUCAGAAGCUCCUCCAACUUCCGAGCCUGGGCUUCCUGUAACCCCUCCCCACUUAAGGACUUGUUCCUGAGAUGGCCAGGCAUUCCCUCCCCCGCCUUCUUCGGGGGUACAUCCGACUGAGUCAAGGCAACCUCGACCACGGUGGGGCAGACCUGUCGAAAACUUACGUCCCUUUCUUCCCGCACUUGAUGGGGGCCGACUGUCGUCACUCUGGCCAACCUUUGAUGCCGGUGCAGCUGGAUUGGGUAAGGACUCUCAUUUCGCACCUUCACUGGGACUCUUCCUCGGCGGACCACCGCCAAUCCCCGGGCCACCUCCACAUUCUGACAGUCGAGGUGGGGCUCAACUAACACCCAGCCUUCAGGCCCAUAAUCUUGCUGGGGGACCCUCACCCAUACGAGGGCCUCACUCCUCGCAGGUAUAGAGAGGGCAUAUCGGCAGGCCACUCGACCGAUAUCCUCUCGGUCCAUCCGUACCCUCGCCGUCUGAAUUCGACGGCAGUCAGCAACAAUUCGCCUCCAUUCUUGUUGUUCUGCCAGGGGGAUCGUCUUCACAGGCCUUGCCUGAAACAAUUCUUCCCAGCACUCGGCGAUCACAUUCAUCCCCAGCAGGGCUCGAUGAGUCCCCAAGCAGUGAUCCUGGACUACCACAAUCCCCUUCUGGGGUACAACGAUUCCACGAAUCUCUACAUCAGCCACAACGUACCCGAUGUACGGGAUGUCCAAUCCAUUUGCCCCCUUUAAGGUCAGCCAUGAGGGGUCGCUUCCUUUCAUACUCCGUUGGCCAAAUACUUCUCGUGACAGGCUUUCAGAAAACAAGGUGACCUGGGAUCCAGUGUCCACCAAACAGGAUAUUUUAACACCGCAUACCUUCGCUUCCACCACCGGACUCCGUCCAAUCAAUCCGCCCUUCGAAUCCGUUGUUCGAGAUGGGUCUUCUAAAGGGGGCCCGACCACAUGACCCACUGUGGCCGGUCGUCCUAAAAACCCCCCAUCGAGCCUCUUCGAGGUCCGCACUGUCGGCUAUAAUGUCCGGCCUCCCCACAACGGUUGCAGAUGGGUCGCCCCUGUUCGUCCCAUUCAAAGCGUGGGCGAGCCGGCCGACUCAAUCGUCUCCCCGGGUCCCGGCCACCAUCGGAAUACGCUCGCUCUCGAGGGGCGUGCCUUACCUCCUGGCUAGGGGCCCCCUGCCGCAAUUCCUCCAACAGCGUUUUAGACAGCUCUUUCAUCUGUUCACGGACAUCCUUCAUGAGCUCGGUCCUUAAUGUCUGUUUCCAAUCCACUUCGGGAGGGGCAGCUGCACUACUACUUACGGCCGCACACACAGGGGAAUCUUUAACCUCAACCUGGUCGAGCUCUAAGGCAACUGCCUCCUUCUUCAGAUCUUCAAACGUCAGUUCAGGAUCUCUUCGGAACUGUACCCGUAGGCUCUGCCGCACUGGGCCUUCCCGCAGUCCUAGUAGGAACUGAUCCCUCAGAAGGAUCUCUCCGUCCUCCAGGCCGUGAUCCGGACAUUUUUGCAAUCUGGUGAGCUGCUCCCGAAGUCGUAGUGCAUAGGCUCGUAUAGGCUGCCGGGGUCCUUGUUUACAACUAAAGAACUGGGCUCGGAGGACGGCAACGGGGGUGGUGUCUCCGUAUUGCUCGGACAGGAAGUUAAAGACGGACUGGGCCGUAGCCCGCACAGCUUCCGGGGCGGCCUGGACUUCGCGCCGCGCUUCCCCUUCCAAGGAGUUCAGUACAAACUGUAGCUGUUGGACUGCACUCAACCCUUGAAGCCCGGCCAAAUACUCAAUCUGGGCUCUCCAUUCAGAUAGUCUCACCUCUGAUUCGGUGCCGCCAUAUUUCUGGACCCAUGGGCUUCCCAUAAACACAGGCAUGACUCGGGGCGGGACUCCUGGCAACUCGUUGUCGGCCAUUGGGGGACCUUGGUCGCUCCACUCGAGGUGGAACCCUGCCGACUACGCCAAAAUCUGUCACAGGUCGGAGCGGACCACAGGUGUUGCGAGUCACGCCCCUUCCCGACUUCCACCUCGAGGAGGUCCCAAAAUCACCCCAAGGACCAGACACACAAGAUGAGUGAAGGGAAUUUAAAACAACUUUAUUUAAAUUAUUUAAAAAGGUAAUCUAGGAAAGGAGAAAAGGGGAAUCUAAAACUUUGGUUUUCGUCUCUUGACAGGAGGGGACUGGGCCUGAGAACUCUGGAGGUCUUUGGUAAGUAAUCACCAGGGGAGGGGGGGGGGCAAGGGCUCUUCCGUCCUUUCCCAGAACUUCCACCAGUCUCCUGACUACUCCUAAAUCCUUCCUUAACUGCUUGAUUUCCCGUGGCGCCCUUCUCUUCUCCUGAAGGCAACAAGAACACACAAUGAGUAUUGGGUAAAACGAAGAAUGCCUGGUUCCUAGCUUCUUUGCUCUUUGGGUUGUACUUCACCAGCGUCUGGACAGCUCCUCCACUCCCAUAGACCUCCUAGGUAGAUAUAAGGUAACACCCAAAUCCCUGAGGGCACAGGUAAGGAACAACGAUAAGGAUGUAGCAAAGUAACUAGGCCAUGCCCCUGGAUGUCCACCGGUAUAUCCGAAGCGAGUAACUUUUUACUCGUAUCACAGAUAGAUAGAGCAAGGUGACUGACUCUUCACACUAGGCUUACUGAGCGGGUUCCAGAGCAAUGGCUUUUAACUCGUGCAGGCGGGUAAGUAUUCAACAAGUAGCUGUAUCUUCACACUGGGCUUUACAGGGCGUAUUCAAGGGCAAUAGCUUUUAGCUCGUACAGACAGGUAAGUAUUCAACAAGUGGCUGUAUCUUCACGCUGGGCUUACAGAGCGUAUUCAAGGGCAAUAGCUUUCCCCACAAUAUCCGCACAAUACCUUGUUUUGCUUUCACACUUCACCUUCGAGCUGGGUCCGGAGAACGGAGUUAUAGGCGGGCGUAGGUGGGAUAGGUGGGCACCGCCACGGCAGCCUACGUUCUUUCCAACAGGAACUUUUCUCGGCCUGGAGGGCAAGUACAGACAACAGGGACACGGCACAGCACUGCAAAGCUUUAGUGCACACACGUCAAAGACAGACUCACCCACUGCACUACACACACUUCAGUGAUUUUUAAGGUCGGUACUCCACACCCGGUCGGAUUUCGUCCUGGAGGAAUUUGCAGUCGCUGUCACGGUAAGUGCUCCAAACUUUACGGUGUGGCCACAGCCAAAUAACAUCCAUUCACCCACGCUCUACUUCGGCUCACCCACUCGUCUCGUCCUCCAACGAUGGGGCCGCUCAACAAGCUGUUAAUCACUCCAACAGGUAUUAGUUAUCCAUAUCCAAGUAUGAGCAGUGAUAUGUAAGCAAUCCAAUGUACUCACAGUCUUCGUGAUACUGAUCUUCUCCCGCUCUCUUUCUCAUCCAGAUAUAAGACAACCAAUCUAAGCAAUCCAAUGUACUCACAGUCUUCGUAAUACUGAU
Long non-coding RNA from Cyprinus carpio carpio, 3710 nucleotides. The record is from Ensembl. Lineage: Eukaryota; Metazoa; Chordata; Actinopteri; Cypriniformes; Cyprinidae.